AGGAUCCGACCAACCCAAAGAAGAUUGCUCAGUCUUGUACUACUACAGGCCGGUUUGGUGCCCUAAUGUCGGUCAAUUUCUCUUUGAUAACGCAGCAGAUUAACACUAAGGUGAAGCCAAAUAAGUCGUUUGAGUGGUACUCACUACACGAUCCGACCAAAACCAAAGAAGAGUGCUCAGUCUUGUACUACUACAGGCCGGUUUGGUGCCCUAAUGUCGGCCAAUUUCUCUUUGAUAGCGCAGCAGAUUAACACUAAGGUGAAGCCAAAUAAAUCGUUUGAGUGGUACUCACUACACGAUCCGACCAACCCAAAGAAGAGUGCUCAGUAUUGUUCUACUACAGUCCGGUUUGGUGCCCUAAUGUCGGCUAAUUUCUACUCACUACAGGAUCCGACCAACCCAAAGAAGAGUGCUCAGUCUUGUACUACUACAGGCCGGUUUGGUGCCCUAAUGUCGGCCAAUUUCUCUUUGAUAACGCAGCAGAUUAACACUAAGGUGAAGCCAAAUAAAUCGUUUGAGUGGUACUCACUACACGAUCCGACCAACCCAAAGAAGAGUGCUCAGUAUUGUUCUACUACAGUCCGGUUUGGUGCCCUAAUGUCGGCUAAUUUCUCUUUGAUAGCGCAACAGAUUAACACUAAGGUGAAGCCAAAUAAACCGUUUGAGUGGUACUCACUAUAGGAUCCGACCAACUCAAAGAAGAGUGCUCAGUCUUGUACUACUACAGGCCGAUUUGGUGAGCCGAUAGUGGUAGUUUCUGACACAUCUGAUGUUCCAUCUACGUCAGCUGAGCCAUAGACCUCCGCCAAAUUGAAACGGACACACACAAAGAACCAGCAAACUUGAAACUGCCAUAGACCUCCGCCAAAUUGUAGGACCUCCACUCCAAGAACCCUAUCUACCAGCGGAUCUGUCGCUGCUUCCUUGUGUCAAAACCACCUCCAAAAACCAUCAAGAUGAUCGAUCCGAAAAAAAAAAGCAAACAAUAGAGAAACAGAGGAAGGGAACGAAUGGGAUUUUUCCUAUUGUGUUAUCUGAUUCAAAUCCCUUCUAUUUUCAUUUCAAAUUCUAGCUUUUUAUUCUGAUUUCUUAUGUUAAAAUCGUGGAGUUUGAUUAAAGUGAGGAAGUUGGUUCACAGUUCUGGUUAUGUCGCCAUAUCGAGGUUCCCAUCAAUUGGUCGUUUGGAUAGUGUUAUUCUGGACGUCGCUAUUUUUCAUGUUGCCGUUUGCAAAUCCGAGGUGUCGAUUUGAGGCUUGUUGUGGUCAAACUUGAGUUUGUCGAUUUAUUUUUCGAUUUUUCAUCUCUUAGCAUUGUCAAGCUGUCAAACAAUCAAACUUCAAAUUUACUCAAGGUCUAUUUCUCCUUUUCUUUUGC
This 1374-nucleotide long non-coding RNA is filed under the name Nicotiana benthamiana. RNAcentral describes it as "long non-coding RNA (NBEN_LNC035252)". Lineage: Eukaryota; Viridiplantae; Streptophyta; Magnoliopsida; Solanales; Solanaceae. The record is from RNAcentral.